AGAGCGAACGCUGGCGGCAGGCCUAACACAUGCAAGUCGAACGGAUCCUUCGGGAUUAGUGGCAGACGGGUGAGUAACACGUGGGAACGUGCCUUUUGGUUCGGAACAACUCAGGGAAACUUGAGCUAAUACCGGAUAAGCCCUUCGGGGGAAAGAUUUAUCGCCAUUAGAGCGGCCCGCGUCUGAUUAGCUAGUUGGUGAGGUAAAGGCUCACCAAGGCUUCGAUCAGUAGCUGGUCUGAGAGGAUGAUCAGCCACACUGGGACUGAGACACGGCCCAGACUCCUACGGGAGGCAGCAGUGGGGAAUCUUGCGCAAUGGGCGAAAGCCUGACGCAGCCAUGCCGCGUGAAUGAUGAAGGUCUUAGGAUUGUAAAAUUCUUUCACCGGGAAGAUAAUGACGGUACCCGGAGAAGAAGCCCGGCUAACUCGUGCCAGCAGCCGC
This 443-nucleotide ribosomal RNA is filed under the name uncultured soil bacterium. RNAcentral describes it as "bacterial SSU rRNA". It matches the Rfam family "Bacterial small subunit ribosomal RNA", at positions 26 to 518 of the family's 1533-position model. The record is from RNAcentral.